UGCAUUCACUACUGUAAGUCGCUCUGGAUAAGAGAGUCUGCUAAAUGACUAGAA
Molecule: non-coding RNA, 54 nt
Organism: Salmo salar (Atlantic salmon)
Lineage: Eukaryota; Metazoa; Chordata; Actinopteri; Salmoniformes; Salmonidae
Source: Rfam